UCCGCGAAACUAAACUAGUUUCCUGCCAGCCUUUCCCUGCUGCUCCCAGAAUACUGUCCCCUGUUCCUCUCCGUUCGAACGCCCGGUAAUUACCUGCACGGAUUGGGUUUCUCCCGUGUCCUGAAACAUUUUAUUUCCUUUUAGCAUGUCGUCCUCGCUUGGCAUUAACUUUCGACAACAGCCAGCAGAGUGUGCUGUGAACGCUGUGUAAAGAAUAUCCUGCUUCUGGGAAAUUUUUAUAUAUUUACAUAUAUGUACAGAAAUGCAGAUGAAGACAUUUUAAGUGGUUCUAAUACUUGCACGAGUGGUAUGUAGUUCCUCCCAUCAAUUAAAAUACUUCUCUUGUCGCAGAUCACACAACCUCUUCCUUAAAAAUUAAUAGCCAAGUCAUACUAAACCGUCUGCUUUCAGCAAGAUUGCUUUCCAGUGUUUGUAUAAAGUUGGAAAAGUGCCACAAUGGAGAUGUCCAAAUACCUUUCACAGUCAGAGAGAAGGAUCUAGAACACAAGGAUCAGUGUGACUGGGCAAUCAAAGGAGAAUAUUCUCCCCAGCUCUGCUUCUGAUCAGAAUGAAUCAAAUACAGCGCUCCUAAUUUUCAUGGUCAUGAGAAGGGAGAGAAGCCAAGCAAAGGUGCAGGAUGUUGUGCUGAAACAUGUUCUAAUCUCAACCCCAUGAGACAAAAACCAGAA
This is a long non-coding RNA of Manacus vitellinus (golden-collared manakin), 689 nucleotides long. RefSeq lists it as uncharacterized. The transcript has 3 exons. The record is from RefSeq and is a predicted model, not a curated record. Lineage: Eukaryota; Metazoa; Chordata; Aves; Passeriformes; Pipridae.